UUGAGCGGAGAUUAUGGAGCUUGCUUUAUAUAACUUAGCAGCGAACGGGUGAGUAACACGUAGAUAAUCUAUCCUAUACUGGGGGAUAGCCCGAUGAAAGUUGGAUUAAUACCGCAUAUAGCUAUAUAGUUGCAUGAUUAUGUAGUGAAAGAUUUAUUGGUAUAGGAGGAGUCUGCGGCACAUUAGCUAGUAGGUGAGGUAAAGGCUUACCUAGGCGACGAUGUGUAGCCGGUCUGAGAGGAUGAACGGCCACAAUGGAACUGAGACACGGUCCAUACUCCUACGGGAGGCAGCAGUGGGGAAUAUUGCACAAUGGGGGAAACCCUGAUGCAGCAACGCCGCGUGAGUGAAGAAGGUUUUCGGAUUGUAAAGCUCUGUUAGCAGGGAAGAGGAAGGACGGUACCUGCAGAGGAAGCCACGGCUAACUACGUGCCAGCAGCCGCGGUAAUACGUAGGUGGCAAGCGUUGUUCGGAAUAACUGGGCGUAAAGGAUGCGUAGGCGGUUAAACAAGUUAUAUGUUAAAUAUAUAGGCUUAACCUGUAGAAAGCAUAUAAAACUGUUUAACUAGAGUGCAGGAGAGGUAAGUGGAAUUCCUAGUGUAGCGGUGAAAUGCGUAGAGAUUAGGAAGAACACCAGUGGCGAAGGCGACUUACUGGACUGUAACUGACGCUGAGGCAUGAGAGCAUGGGGAGCAAACAGGAUUAGAUACCCUGGUAGU
This 719-nucleotide ribosomal RNA is filed under the name uncultured bacterium. RNAcentral describes it as "bacterial SSU rRNA". It matches the Rfam family "Bacterial small subunit ribosomal RNA", at positions 62 to 794 of the family's 1533-position model. The record is from RNAcentral.